This is a long non-coding RNA of Oncorhynchus gorbuscha (pink salmon), 793 nucleotides long. RefSeq lists it as uncharacterized. Lineage: Eukaryota; Metazoa; Chordata; Actinopteri; Salmoniformes; Salmonidae. The transcript is spliced from 2 exons. The record is from RefSeq and is a predicted model, not a curated record.
CGUUGGAGAAAUGUAACCGGAGACCUGUUCCAAUUACGAGUUUACUGCGUAAUUCCUAGCCUCCCUUGGCCUCUGUGGUCGGUGUUCUUUGCAUUGUAGGCUAGGCCUAUUCGUUGUAUUUGCACAUAUAUUGAAGCGGUUACAAUGAUGGCACGAAUCCAGCAUAAAUAGUAGAUAGAUUGACAAUGAAACCAAACACAUAGGGAAAAUUCAGCAUAAAGAGUGCGCCUUUCUAGGCUACGGACAAACAGAGGCCAUGGACCGCGGGACCCCAGGGAAUAUCUUGUAACGCUUCGAUCACACCGAAAGGGCCUUGCGCAAAAUGGUAUGCAGCAUCAUCUGGAUAUGUAUGUAACAAAAGUUCAACUUCUGCUACCAUUUCUGUCAAGCCGUCUACGCAUAAAGUUUGACGCAUACAUUCGAUAAAUCCAACGUAUGCACCACACAGAACGCACAGCAACUGCAAUGGUGCAAGCUAAACGCAGUGUUUCAUUGGUAAUUAAUGUAAUUCUGGUGUACCAAAAGACCGGAACACUGUAGGUGUGUUGGAAGGGUGACGCAGCGAAUUGCGCAAAAUAGGCUACAAGCUUCUGAGAGUUUACAAUUGGACCGUUUGCUGUUCGGACUCUGAUGGUGAACAGUGGUGCCAAUGCCAACCAAUGGAUGCAAAGUAAAUCAUCCCUUAAUCUCUUCACACAGCCUCUGUGCUGAUCUUGUGGGACUGUCUUUUUAUUCCAAAAUGUGCCUCUUGGAAAAUGUAUUAUGGAAAAUAAAUGAUCAUCUUGGAAAAUAA